UACGGGGGGAGCAAGCGUUGUUCGGAUUUACUGGGCGUAAAGGGCGCGUAGGCGGCCACCGCAAGUCGACUGUGAAAUCUCUGGGCUUAACCCAGAACGGUCAGCCGAUACUGCGGGGCUAGAGUGCAGAAGGGGCAACUGGAAUUCCCAGUGUAGCGGUGAAAUGCGUAGAUAUUGGGAGGAACACCAGUGGCGAAGGCGGCUCACUGGACCGGUACUGACGCUGAGGCGCGAAAGCGUGGGGAGCAAACAGG
This 254-nucleotide ribosomal RNA is filed under the name uncultured bacterium. RNAcentral's name for it is "partial 16S ribosomal RNA". It matches the Rfam family "Bacterial small subunit ribosomal RNA", at positions 524 to 776 of the family's 1533-position model. The record is from RNAcentral.